GAGGCCUGUGUGGCAAGGAACUGGGAGUAGCCUCCAGAUGACAGCCAGUAAGGAACUGAGACCCUCAGUCCACCAACCCAUGAGGAACCCAUGCAAUGACCACAUGAGUCAAACUUUGAGAUGACUGCAGACCGAGCCAGCCCCUUGAUAAGAGCUUUGUGAGAGGAUCAGAGCCAAAGGACCAGAUAGACCGGCUAUUAAGGAAGAAAGCCAUCUUCUAUAACAUACAACACAAUGGAACUGUUUAAGAAAUUGGGAUGGGUGCAUUGACUCGUGCCUGUAAUCUUACUUUGGGAGGCCAAUGCGGGUGGAUCGCUUGAGCCCAGAAGUUUGAGACCAGCCUGGGCAACAUGGUGAAACUCUAUCUCUACAAAAAAUAAAAAAAAAUUAGUCAGGUUUGGUAGUGGCAUGGGCUGAGGUGGGAGGACUGCUUGAGCCUGGGAGGUUGAGGCUGCAGUGAGCCAUGACUGCACCAUUGCACUCCAGCCUGAGUGACAGAGCGAAACCCUAUCUCCCCACUGCCCCUCGCAAAAAAAGGAAGAAAUCUUAAUGAAACUUGAACUGAACUUGGGCUAGAAGAAACCCGAAGUGUGAAGCAGGACUAAGACCAAUUGCUCUUAGUCUCCUAAAGGCCAAAUAAGAAGCAAAAAGCUUUUAUAUGUAUCAAAAGAAAUUAUCUGUCUUCUGAGGAGACCCUUCUUUCAUGGCAUUCAAACUUCGGAGUAUUAGGCUUUUAAA
This 738-nucleotide long non-coding RNA is filed under the name Homo sapiens (human). RNAcentral's name for it is "novel transcript". Lineage: Eukaryota; Metazoa; Chordata; Mammalia; Primates; Hominidae. The record is from RNAcentral.